ACUCCCUGAUAAACACUGCAGAGAAGAGCAGGGCUGGCCAGGGCUGACUCGCCUGGAUUGUCUAAAAUAUGACAGUGGUUCACGGAGUGGGGCUCUGUGCAUUCGUUAAACGCUAUCGGCAGUUUUUCAGACUUUGCAUGCAUUGUGUAUUUACUAAACUUUGGGGACAAGCUCAGUGAUAUCACUCCCUUAAAGCUGGUCCUUGGUCCCCGCUGUUAACCUGCCUGGAUGAUGCGCGCAGGUGAGGAGUUUCUGGUGCUCUCAGUUCUGCAGGUGCGGAUGGAAUCGUUACUCUGAGUCCCCUCCCUGCAGGGGCGCUGCCUAUUAAAGAGCAUUCCCUACCAGCCACUCACCUUCUCCGCAAGCUGCACACUUUCAUAUCCCCUGCCUUGCCUCUUCUGUGGCGAGGCAACGAUAACGUCGUUGAAUGGCUUGUUAAUGGUGUUUUCACUAAAUGCAUCAGAGAUACGAGUAUUACCCACCAUGAUGAUUCACUCGGGAACGCGUAGGGCUGCCCA
This 518-nucleotide long non-coding RNA is filed under the name Homo sapiens (human). RNAcentral's name for it is "novel transcript". The record is from RNAcentral. Lineage: Eukaryota; Metazoa; Chordata; Mammalia; Primates; Hominidae.